CCUUAUACCUACCCCAUCCCUCAAAGGGCUGCCUCUAAUCGGAAUCAAACCUGAUACACCUCGGAUCUGACUUGCGUGAUGUGGCAUUGCCGAAUAGGAGCUCAACACAGACCAGCCACAAAACCCAUCACCUCGGCCAACCAGUUCUUGCCAUGUGGCCAACCUAAGGGCAUGCAAAGAAAAUCAAAUCAACCUCCACUCGGUGAUAGUUGGACUAUAAUAGAGGAAUGACCUCCACAAUUGUGAGAUCUGUAUCUUAUCGUAUCCUAACAAGCUUAAGGACGUGCGAAACAAUUAUCCCCAACCUCCCUCGCAUGUCUUUAACGCCUUGGGAUCCAACCCUCAUCUACAUAAACUCUUCCCUAGGGAACCUCCAGAUAAGUCCACACAAGUCGAACCAAGUCUAGACAAGACUUCUUAAGCCUAAAUCCUUCCGAAUACCCUCAAAUUCUUGGAAGCUCUCUAAAGUUCUACCGAGUCUCUAGAAAAAUCUUUGAGUCACCGAGUCUCCACUCAUGAGCUCAGAGUACCCUACCAGUGGUGAUCCACCCAAAGAGUCUCUCAUAGUUCUAGACUGAGUGACAUCCCCUUGAGACUAUAUCUCUCCCAAACAUAGACCGUUCCUCUCUCCCACAAACUCAAGACUUCCACUCACAUGCACCGCUGAUUUGAUCUCAUCUCCUUCUACUUCUUUUAGAACUUCCUUUGUUCCAUCGAGGUAGACUAACGCGUCAGAGGGUCCUCACCAGAAAACCCUCGGCAAGCGGACUUCCUUUGCUUUUGGUGUUUCAGCAUACUCAAAGAGGUUGAAACAUAGUUUUGAACCUCUUCGAUAGCUUUCCGACUUUCAGCCAGCUCCUAGAGUCCCUAGGUUGCCACUUACCCCCUCUUAUCCUUAGCUUAAGCUCAUCGGCCUGAGCUAAAUCGAUCCUCGGUGGCAACAAAACCCAUACCCUUAGCCUAAGUGGCAGGGAGUAAUAUUAUUCGAGUGCUUGGUGGGAUAGGGUUUUUCCUUGAAAGAACACCAUCACAUAAGUUUAGGUUGAAGUUCUUGACCUUGAGAGGGCUUGUGUUUCACUUUGUGUAGGUUUCCUCCAUGCCCCACGCAGAACAACAAAAGACAACCUCCACUCGGUGAUAGUUGGACUAUAAUAGCAGAAUGACCUCCACAAUUGUGAGAUCUGUAUCUUAUCAUAUCCCAACAAGCUCAAGAACGUGCGAAACAGUUAUCCCCAACCUCCCUCGCAUGUUCUUAAUGCCUUGGGAUCCAACCCUCAUCUACAUAAACUCUUUCCUAGGGAACCUCUAGAUAAGUCCACACAAGUCGAAUCAAGUCUAGACAAGACUUCCUAAGCCUAAAUCCUUCCGAAUACCCUCAAAUUCUUGGAAGCUCUCUAAAGUUCUAUCGAGUCUCUAGAAAAAUCUUUGAGUCACCGAGUCUCCACUCAUGAGCUCAGAGUACCCUACCAGUGGUGAUCCACCCAAAGGGUCUCUCAUAGUUCUAGACUGAGUGACAUCCCCUUGAGACUAUAUCUCUCCUAAACAUAGACCGUUCCUCUCUCCCACAGACUCAAGACUUCCACUCACAUGCACCGUUGAUUUGAUCUCAUCUCCUUCUACUUCUUUUAGAACUUCCUUUGUUCCAUCGAGGUAGACUAAUGCAUCAGAGGGUCCUCACUAGAAAACCCUCGGCAAGCGGACUUCCUUUGCUUUUGGUGUUUCAGCAUGCUCAAAAAAGUUGAAACAUAGUUUUGGACCUCUCCGACAGCUUUCCGACUUUCAACCAGCUCCUAGAGUCCCUAGGUUGCCAAUUACCGCCUCUUAUCCUUAGCUUCAGCUCAUCGGCCUGAGCUAAAUCGACCCUCGGUGGCAACAAAACCCAUACCCCUAGCCUAAGUAGCAGGGAGUAAUAUUAUUCGAGUGCUUGGUGGGAUAGGGUUUCCCCUUGAAAGAACACCAUCACAUAAGUUUAGGUUGAAGUUCUUGACCUUGAGAGGGCUUGUGUUUCACUUUGUGUAGGUUUCCUCCAUGCCCCACACAAAACAACAAAAGACAACCUACAAAUCAACAAUAUUAGCUAUUUUAUUCAAAAGCAAAUUAAAGCAAAAUUCUGCCAAAAUAACCCCACUCCAACAACCAAGACUAGGAAUUUGAAAAUAAUACAUUAAACAAAAUAGAGAUAAGCAAAAUAGUGCAAAGCCCAAGGGUAAUGAAAGGAAACCAGAAAAAUCCUAUCUUGAUCUUAGCCAAGCUUAUCCCUUUAAAUAUAUAUAAGAAAGUCAUCCAAUAUGGACUGACUCCAAGAUAGAGCUUUGCAGGAAGCAAUAACCCCCAAUAUCACUCCAAAUGUCCCCAUCCCACAGUUUUCCCAAAUGCAGUUUUACAAGCAUGACCAUAAU
Molecule: long non-coding RNA, 2399 nt
Filed under: Elaeis guineensis (African oil palm)
Lineage: Eukaryota; Viridiplantae; Streptophyta; Magnoliopsida; Arecales; Arecaceae
Description: long non-coding RNA (EGUI_LNC000830)
Source: RNAcentral